RNAcentral lists this long non-coding RNA (214 nucleotides) under Lathyrus oleraceus (garden pea). RNAcentral's name for it is "Pisum sativum (pea) long non-coding RNA (PSAT_LNC033411)". The record is from RNAcentral. Lineage: Eukaryota; Viridiplantae; Streptophyta; Magnoliopsida; Fabales; Fabaceae.
UUUUUUUAUUUUUUUACUAACCAAAAUACCAAAAAUAUGUCCAUAUAUAACUUUGUUUCUUUUGAAGGUAGUAUGUGCAUCCACCAAUGCCUCAUCAAGAUCACAACUAGGGUUUGAGACCCUCAGUGCAAGGAAAUAAAUCAAGAGAUGGUUCACAUUGGUUCUAGACAUCAUGUAUGGAUCCCCAUGUUCUUCAUUUAUCAUUUGUAUCAAG